UACGUAGGGUGCAAGCGUUGUCCGGAAUUAUUGGGCGUAAAGAGCUCGUAGGCGGUUUGUUGCGUCGGCUGUGAAAUCCCGAGGCUCAACCUCGGGUCUGCAGUCGAUACGAGCAAACUAGAGUGUUGCAGGGGAGAAUGGAAUUCCUGGUGUAGCGGUGGAAUGCGCAGAUAUCAGGAGGAACACCGAUGGCGAAGGCAGUUCUCUGGGCCGUAACUGACGCUGAGGAGCGAAAGCGUGGGGAGCGAACAGG
RNAcentral lists this ribosomal RNA (253 nucleotides) under uncultured bacterium. Its description in RNAcentral is "partial 16S ribosomal RNA". It matches the Rfam family "Bacterial small subunit ribosomal RNA", at positions 524 to 776 of the family's 1533-position model. The record is from RNAcentral.